AAUUGUAAUUCCGGUGAAGAUGCCGGAUACCUGCGACAGGACGGAAAGACCCCAUGGAGCUUUACUGUAGCUUGACAUUGGGUCUUGGUACUACAUGUACAGGAUAGGGGGGAGGCUUUGAAACCAGGACGCCAGUUUUGGCGGAGCCAUCCUUGGGAUACCACCCUUGGAGUACUGGGACUCUAACCAUAGGCCAUGAAUCUGGUCUUGGGACACUGUCAGGUGGGCAGUUUGA
RNAcentral lists this ribosomal RNA (235 nucleotides) under Clostridioides difficile. RNAcentral describes it as "partial 23S ribosomal RNA". It matches the Rfam family "Bacterial large subunit ribosomal RNA", at positions 2040 to 2273 of the family's 2925-position model. Lineage: Bacteria; Bacillati; Bacillota; Clostridia; Peptostreptococcales; Peptostreptococcaceae. The record is from RNAcentral.